Molecule: ribosomal RNA, 231 nt
Filed under: uncultured bacterium
Lineage: Bacteria
Description: partial 16S ribosomal RNA
Rfam family: Bacterial small subunit ribosomal RNA
Source: RNAcentral
CGGGUGAGUAACACGUAUCCAACCUGCCGUCUACUCUUGGACAGCCUUCUGAAAGGAAGAUUAAUACAAGAUGGCAUCAUGAGUUCACAUGUUCACAUGAUUAAAGGUAUUCCGGUAGACGAUGGGGAUGCGUUCCAUUAGAUAGUAGGCGGGGUAACGGCCCACCUAGUCUUCGAUGGAUAGGGGUUCUGAGAGGAAGGUCCCCCACAUUGGAACUGAGACACAGUCCAA